AUCGCAAAAGGAAAUGGUGUCUUCCUUCUCCAACCGCUAAAAGCUGAUGGCGCCUACAAAUUU
RNAcentral lists this non-coding RNA (63 nucleotides) under Arachidicoccus ginsenosidimutans. RNAcentral describes it as "Arachidicoccus sp. BS20 Fluoride riboswitch aptamer (crcB RNA motif)". It matches the Rfam family "Fluoride riboswitch aptamer (crcB RNA motif)". The record is from Rfam by way of RNAcentral. Lineage: Bacteria; Pseudomonadati; Bacteroidota; Chitinophagia; Chitinophagales; Chitinophagaceae. RNAcentral also lists the same sequence under 1 other name.